CUCAAAGAUUAAGCCAUGCAAGUGGUUAUUAUAACCCGACAGUUUAAAUAAGUGUUCUAACACGGCAAUUACGCUAUACACACACAGUGAACUGGCAAUUCACUUAUGCAACUGCAGACAGCUGCUUAAUACAGUCACACUUGUCUUGACUUGGCAAACCCACACACACACACACACACACAACCCAUCCUAUACGGAUAACUCAGGGAAAGUUUGCGCUAAUACGUACGAGUAUUACACACACAAUGACAUAUAUUCUGCACACAAUAGUAAACAUUUAAUACGUAUAUUUUUUUAUGCGUAUGUUUAAAUGCAACAUGAGAGAUAUUGUGCACGCGUAAAAUUAUUUAUGCAGAGCAGACUUUAACAAUUCUAUACUGUUGAAGCNUGUCAUACAAGCAUCUAUAGCAUCNAGUCACAGGGUUGGCAAGUGUAUUUUUGAACCUUCAAAGCAGUCACGCAUACGGAAGAGUAGUUUCUGAUCCCAUAGAAGGAGCACCGUACAAUGAGAGACCGCUCUUAGUUCUAAGGAACGCAGCAGGCGCGUAAAUUGCCCAAUGAUAGUACCCUAUAAAUAAACUAAAUACAUAAUACCUUGUACACACACCUCUUAUAUAUACACACUGAGGCAGUGACAAGCUGUAACGGUUGAGUAUUUUAAAUGACGAGUGUCUGGCAUUGCCGCUUUCUUUCGGGUUAGCUUGGUAAUUUAAUUGCCGACACUUUGUGUGCUCAAUUGGAAUGCGGUGAGUUUAAAUAACUCAGAACCUUUGAAUUUAUAUAAUAAUAAUUCAUGUAUCUGAAUUUCAAGUGGAGGGCAAGUCUGGUGCCAGCAGCCGCGGUAAUACCAGCUCCACUGGCCUAUACAAUCAUUGUUGCGUUAAGAGGUCGUAGUUGGAUUGAACUACUAAAAUAUACAUGCGUAACUACACACACGCAUACGCAUUGUAUAUAUACACACGACACACAACACUGUGAACAAAUCAGAAUGUAUCAAAUAUGUAUUUUAUUUAUAAUGCGCAUUGAAUGUCUUAUCAUGGAAUGUUGCCUAUAUAUUUAUAUAUAUACACNCGCGAUACACAUUUAAAAUGUCGAUGGGGAUAGUUGGAGUUAACAGUACUGCUGGGCGAGCGGUGAAAUGCAUUGACCCUAGCAAGACUACCAAAAGCGAAAGCNGUUGGCUAGGCUAUACUCUUUGUGAUAUUAUAUAUACGUAUACACACACACACACUGUAUAUAUAUACACUUUACAAUGAAGAACGAAGGUUGGGGGAUCAAAGAGGAUCAGAUACCCUCGUCGUCCCAUUUUAUACAUCAAACGAUGGGCUCUCAAUUGCAUUUAUUAUUAAGUAUAUUUUAUUGUAUACGUAUAAUUUUGCAAAUAUAAAUCCUCCUAACCAAAUAACCACAGCUUGAGUCUUACGGCUCGCUGUAACUUUAAGGUCUCGACGGACGUUUCAUUUUAUACAUUACGUAAAAACAACUAUUUUGCGUGUAAGCUAUUACAAUUCUUUUAUAGAAUUCGUAUUAAGCGUGCAUUUGAUUUUCGGAGCUUUGCGCUCAAAUUUAAAUAUCUGGUGAGAUGUAAGCAUCAACGAUACUAAUAUUUAAUCACAUAACAUACUAUACGUAUGCGUAUGCUUGUAUUAAUAUAUUUUAUCAUUUUAAAAUACGGUGUGAGGCACGUAUUAGGCACGCGCUUACUGCAGAAAUGUCUGAGAUAUUCCCCUCCGGGGGUAGUAUGCACGCAAGUGUGAAACUUGAAGGAAUUGACGGAAGGGCACCACAAGAACGCGUGGAGCAUGUGGCUUAAUUUGACUCAACGCGGGAAAUCUUACCGGGUCCGGACACACUGAGGAUUGACAGACAAUCACACUAAUCUUAUAUGUAUAUUUAUUUAUACGCGUAAGUUAGUGUCAAAUAAAGAUGCUAGUUCUUUCAUGAUUAUGUGAUAGGUGGUGCAUGGCCGUUCUUAGUUCGUGGAGUGAUCUGUCUGCUUAAUUGCGUUUCACAAUUAAAAUACGAAUAUACGCAUAUUAUGAUUGCUUGACCCCAUAAAUUUAUUUUUAUGCGCUGCGUCUCGUAUCUUAUAUGCAUUCGUUAUUUCGAAAGCAACGAACGUGACCGUAUCCUUUUGUUAAAUGUAUAUAUACAUUUUAAAAACUAAAGGGACCGCUGUUUCUUUCUUAAACCAGAGGAAGGUUACGGCAAUAACAGGUCUGUGAUGCCCUUAGAUGUUCCGGGCUGCACACGUGCUACAAUGAUUAUUUCAGUAAGUAUCUCAUUAUAAAUAGAAUGUACUUUACGUACAUCUAAAUCCUACCUCGAAAGUAAGGUGGGUAAUCAAUUAGAAGUAAUGAUUUCCUAAAAUAUUUUGUACAAAAAUAUACAGCGUAUUCAUAUCCCAUAAACAUAUUUAUUAUGUGCAUGCGUGUGUAUGAUACGUAAAUAUUACUUUUAUGUAUUAUUUUUUCUGUAUGUACAAUUGUUAAUUCAUGGUGGGGACAGACCAUUGUUAAUUAUUGGUCUCGGUCUUAACUAGGAAUGCCUUGUACGGGUCUUUGGUUCAUCAAACCACCCGGACUACGUCCCUGCCCUUUGUACACACCGCCCGUCGCUCUUACCGAUGAACUUUACUAUGAAUUUGAGGGAAAGACCUUUGAGUCGCAAACUUAAAUGAAUAGUGUGGUUUAAAGGAAAGAGAAGUCGAACAAGGCA
RNAcentral lists this ribosomal RNA (2718 nucleotides) under Buccella frigida. Its description in RNAcentral is "SSU rRNA". It matches the Rfam family "Eukaryotic small subunit ribosomal RNA". The record is from RNAcentral. Lineage: Eukaryota; Foraminifera; Rotaliida; Trichohyalidae.